GAUGAAGAACGUAGCGAAAUGCGAUAAGUAAUGUGAAUUGCAGAAUUCAGUGAAUCAUCGAAUCUUUGAACGCACCUUGCGCCCUUUGGCUAUUCUGAAGGGCAUGCCUGUUUGAGUAUCAUGAACACAUCAACUCUCAUGGUUUGCCAUGAUGAGCUUGGACUUUGGGGGUCUUGCUGGCCUACGGUCAGCUCCUCUCAAAUGAAUCAGCUUGCCAGUGUUUGGUAGAGUCGCAGGUGUGAUAACUAUCUACGCUUGUGGUUUUCUGCCAGAUAACCUUCAGUGAUGGAGGUUCGCUGGAGCUUAUAAAUGUCUCUCCCCAGUGAGGACAGCUUUUUGAACGUUUGAUCUCAAAUCAGGUAGGACUACCCGCUGAACUUAAGCAUAUCAAUAAGCGGAGGA
This 402-nucleotide unclassified non-coding RNA is filed under the name soil metagenome. Its description in RNAcentral is "partial contains 5.8S ribosomal RNA, internal transcribed spacer 2, and large subunit ribosomal RNA". The stretch from base 1 to 121 matches the Rfam family "5.8S ribosomal RNA", at positions 35 to 154 of the family's 154-position model. The record is from RNAcentral.